UAAUUUUUAAAUCAAAAGUAGUUGGCAGAUUCUUGUUAGCUUCACAAAAACAACUAUAUAAAGCAUGUUAACUCUUCUCUUCAUUCACACAGAACUAAAACACACAUAACCCUCUUAGCAGAUAACAAUUCUUCACUUUCUUGAAAUAAUUAAUGGAGAGUUUGAAGCUUGCCUCAGUUCUCACCGUUGUCUUUAUGGUUCUUGUGGCUUGCUCCAAUGUUGCAGUCACGACUGCCCUUGAUGUUGAAGCUCCUGCACCAUCACCAACAAUUGAGAGCGCUGGUGCAGCAUUGUUUGUUCCUGCUGCACUCGCUGCCUUGGCUUCCCUGGUUGCUUGUUUUGUUUGAUUACUAAAUGUAAUUUAGGCAUUUCAGAUUUGGCUUAUACUAUAUUUCUUAUUAUUUAUUAUUUGUGAUCAGUAGAUAUUGAUUGUUUCUAAAGAAUACUGAGCAAGAAACUAUCAUUUGCAAAUUUCAGAGUUCUAACAAACAUGUGAUUGUGGAUGAAACACAAAAUGCAGGAAAGUUGUUUAAACACAUACGAAACUUAAGUAAAAGAUAUUGUUUUCGUGAACAGAGCAUGAUAUAUA
RNAcentral lists this long non-coding RNA (589 nucleotides) under Daucus carota (carrot). RNAcentral describes it as "long non-coding RNA (DCAR_LNC005686)". Lineage: Eukaryota; Viridiplantae; Streptophyta; Magnoliopsida; Apiales; Apiaceae. The record is from RNAcentral.